Molecule: long non-coding RNA, 1516 nt
Filed under: Vigna radiata
Lineage: Eukaryota; Viridiplantae; Streptophyta; Magnoliopsida; Fabales; Fabaceae
Description: long non-coding RNA (VRAD_LNC009622)
Source: RNAcentral
GUUGUAAUAGUAUGUAGGGUAAUGGUAGAUUGAAAUGAAGGGAACAAGAUACUAGAAUAUCGAAACAACAAUUUUUUUUUUUUAAUUUAAUUUCACACUUGAAUACUUAACACGGAUAUAAUUUUUUUUCACUUAAACAAGAUUAGAGAUCAUAAAUACCUUAAACAUUAUUCCACACACUAAUAUAAACGUAAAAUAAAACACAACAUUAAUUUGAAGUAGUUACAAAGAAGCUUGAUAUAUAUAAUUCAUGUUUUCUUGCACUUAUAUUCUUCGAACUGCAUCAGAACAACAUCAUACAUGAUAAUUGUGACAACAAGGAGCUGCAGGGUAUCUGUUUGGUCCUUGACCAAGUAGCCUUCUGGACUGAACUUUUUCAUAUGAACCUAUAAACAUAAUCAACAAUUUAUUUUCAUUCGUCAUAUAUUUUUAGUUCUUGAAAUUCAUAUAUCUUGAUAAUUCGGUUUUUAUUAAAUGAAUUAAAAAUUAUUUUAGUUUCUGACAUUUAAAAAAAAAAAUACAUGUUUAGUCUAUUAGAUUAAAUUUAAAGCACUAACGUGUUUUUAGUUAUUUUUAUUUUUAAUUUGCGAUUAUUUUUUCAUUCUGAGUACGUAGAGAAAAUCCUAAUUGACUAUAAAUUUUAAGAAGGGUUAAAUAUGUUUUUAGUUUCUAUACUUUGGGGCGAUUUUGGUUUUAGUCUCUCUUUCAAACUAAGAUACAAUUUAGUCCUUUAACUUUAGAAAACUCUGGUUUUAGUCUUUUUUUACCAAAUUUUUUUAACUUUAUUUGUUAUUUCAAACGCGUUUCUCAGUUAACAUUGAAGCAAAAAUGUGUCAAACAGGGUAAACAAUCCAAAUGCUAUAAUGAAACGUGCUUGAAACAGCAAAUAAAGUUAAAAAAAUUUUGAUAAAAAGGACUAAAACCAGAGUUUUCUAAAGUUGAAGGACUAAAUUGUACCGUAAUUUGAAGGAGGGACUAAAACCAAAAUCGCCCCAAAGUAUAGGAACUAAAUACAUAUUUAACCCUUUCAAGAAAUAUGCAACAUAAUUGUAAAUGAAUGCUUUAACAUGUAAAUAUAUAUAUUCAUUGGUGAAUAUAAGACACCAUAAAUAUAAACAUAAAAUUGAAAUUUUAUGUAAAAGAAACAAGAUUAGAACAUAUAUAGUUGUUGAAGCUAAGAUAAAUGUAUGGGUCCAUUCAAAACUCUGAAAAAGAUUAAAUAAUGAAGACAAAUAAAUAUGUAUUAUUCAUAAGUUUUGACGUCAUUUUAAACGAGAAAGCUAUUAAAAGAAAAAAAAAUUAUAUAUUUAACCUAUUUCUCCAUUUAUUUGUCCAUUUAAAAUAAAUUCAAUAAUAUUUACACAGUGAAUUUCACUUACUUGCAUGGCCAGAAGCACCAGCUAGAGGCAGUGAUAUUGCCCUAGCACAAGAAAUGAACACACAAAGAAAGAAGACAAUAACCCAAAGAAAAGAGAUUCUACUUGAAGCCAUUGGGUUAGGGCACAUCACGAUGAAU